RNAcentral lists this long non-coding RNA (728 nucleotides) under Ananas comosus (pineapple). RNAcentral's name for it is "long non-coding RNA (ACOM_LNC021455)". The record is from RNAcentral. Lineage: Eukaryota; Viridiplantae; Streptophyta; Magnoliopsida; Poales; Bromeliaceae.
UACGGUAGAAUUAGGUUAUAGGGACAUAUUUUUGGAACACUUUUAUAUAAGUGUCAUAUUUAUGUCUAGAUUUUUUAAAAAGUUCUAUAUUUAAGGUCUAAAUAUAAACCCCAAUCCAAUAAAAAACAGAAAGUUCUUCUACUCAACUAAUUCCACCUAGCCUAUUCGGUCCGAUUAUAAAUAAAAAAGAAAAAUUGAUCACCAUCUCUCCUUCACCUUCUCUGUCGCCGCAGUCGACGAGGUAGGGUUUCAGUGGCUAGAGUUCAGCUGUGAGGAUUUCGCAGGGACCGUAGAGGGCUAUGAUCGUCACGUAUCCCUCCGCCACAGGUCGCUGGAGUAAAUGCCAAAUAUCAAAGCGGCCCUACAUAUAGCGACCCCACUUCUUAGCCAGCAGCAUUUUUUUGACAUGUACCGAUAUUUAAAAACAUCGCUAUACACCGUUUUUGUUGUAGUGAAAUAGCAAAUUGUAACUUUUNUCACCAUCUCUCCUUCACCUUCUCUGUCGCCGCAGUCGACGAGGUAGGGUUUCAGUGGCUAGAGUUCAGCUGUGAGGAUUUCGCAGGGACCGUAGAGGAUGAUCGUCACGUGUCCCCCCGCCAUAAGUUUUUGGAGGAGUGAGUGUCAAACAUCAAGGCGGUCCUACACAUAGCGAUCCCAAUUCUUAGCCAGCAGCAUUUUUUUGACAUGUACCGAUAUUUAAAAACAUCGCUAUACACCGUUUUUGUUGU